CCCCUCUCAGGGUCGCUCCUGGAGAGUUCCCAAUACUCUACCAGUCUCGACUACUGGAGGGAGAGUCAGGCAGAGGCCUACCCAUUCUAUUCCUAGCUUGGCCAGUGGCUAGCGAGUGGAAGGCCAUCUGCUGCAAGU
Molecule: small nucleolar RNA, 138 nt
Organism: Ornithorhynchus anatinus (platypus)
Lineage: Eukaryota; Metazoa; Chordata; Mammalia; Monotremata; Ornithorhynchidae
Source: RefSeq, a predicted model, not a curated record